RNAcentral lists this small RNA (29 nucleotides) under Bombyx mori (domestic silkworm). RNAcentral describes it as "ovarian small RNA-17771". The record is from RNAcentral. Lineage: Eukaryota; Metazoa; Arthropoda; Insecta; Lepidoptera; Bombycidae.
GUCGACGUGGUCGUGUAGUUACCUGCGAA